This 2081-nucleotide long non-coding RNA is filed under the name Catharus ustulatus (Swainson's thrush). RNAcentral describes it as "lncRNA (ENSCUSG00005015600.1)". The record is from RNAcentral. Lineage: Eukaryota; Metazoa; Chordata; Aves; Passeriformes; Turdidae.
UGCUUCUGAUCUUGCUCCCUUCUAGGUUGGGAUCAUGCUAGAAAGGCUUCUCCAGGAGCUUGGCUUCAGGAAGGUUUCCAGCCUCUGGAGCCUCGUGCAGGUAUGUUCUCAGCAUCCCACCAAGGAAUAAUCUUUGAUAACCUGGUAGGAACUAGAAACUUCAGUGACUGUUGAGUUACAGGUGUGUCUGCAGGGAAGUCUUUUCCAGCUCCUUUGCUGGUUGUUCCACAUCAGCCCAGAUCCCAUCGCAGGGGUGAGUAGUGUGUCCCUGCUGACCCCACAGACUGAGCACUGCUUUUGAGGGAUCCAUUCAUCUGAAAUGGAAAUACUUUCUGAUAAGGUCCGCCAAGCAGAAAUGAAAUUUCACCAGAAAUGAAAGCAGAGGCUAUGCUGAAGACUGAGUUUCCCAGAAGGAAGCAGUGGCUCAUGGGCAGCCUCUGCUGCAGAAACCGAGGCGAUGCCAGACUCAGUCACAGGAGAUGUUAUCACUGAAACAGGAAUGUAUGCUCAGGAUCCAGUGCGCCUUCCAAGAAUUGUCUGUCCCCAGGACGUGAGCAGAUCCUGCAUGAUAGGCACAGUAGUGACACUGUUCACUGUGCCACUUGUCCUGGUCUGCUGCUAUUUUGGGAUUCGGAAGCUGUAUCAGAUGAGACGACUGAUCAAACUUAUGUUGGUUUGAUUUGACCAAGAGAAGAGUUUUGCUUUGCUGUGAAUUCAAACAAGGAGCAGAGCUGCAACCUGUUGAAAAGAGUCUCUUCACUUCCUAGCUAAAGCAAACUGCCAGGGUUCUUUUUUUUCCUUCUCUGGGCAGGAAUAUAAAAAUAUAUCAUCAGCAAAUACUCCUGUAAAGUAACUGAUAUAAGUUAGGGAUUUUGUCUGUUUGCUCACUAACCCCUGAGUUCCUCAGAGCUGCAGCUCCCUGUUCUCUUUGCAGACAGAGGCUGGCCAUGGAUGACAGUCAUGUGUCUGGCCUGGUGCACACCAGGUCCACACAUGAGCUAAGGGAUCAUCCUUGCACACUCCAUCCUGGAAGAACCCAGUUCACUGAUGAAUCUGACACAAUUUUAUGGCAUGGCAUAAAAAAAAAGGCAAAAUAGAGGUUGGAGUUGGUACCAUUCCAAACACUUGACAUUUUGCUGUGUGUAAUGGAGACAGGAACUACAAAAUUCCUAUUCAUGCACAUUUUGCUGUCUGAGAGCACACAAGUCCUCAAAGUCACAGGGGCUUGCAGAGCUGUGUCUGAGAUGACUUUAAAAACAGAAUCAAUCUUUACAUGCAACACCUGUCUUCAAAACAUUACAAAUCCCAAGCUGAUUCCUCCUAGUAAGUGGAAAAAAACCCCAACCAGAUAACAAAACCAAAACUGUGACCCGACAAAACAGGGAAACAAAACAACCACCAAGAAAAAAUCAAAACUAAUACAAAACCCUCACAAAUCCAGAAAAAUAUCAAAAUCAGGUGAAGGAGGCAGCGAUCAAAGAGCAACAAAUGGGCAGAGAAACUACUAGAUAAUUAGAAAGCACAGGUAAUCACUGGCUAUGGCACCAAACUAGCCAGGGGAUCUGAGAUGCAGUUCUCACCCUUCUGAAAAAAAUCAAACCAGAAAAGAGAUUAUGAUGAUUGUGCAAAUGGUUCUCUGCAUGUUUAGCCUAAAUGUAUCCAUUGUGUAAGUUCUAUUUGCCUUGUUAAGUCACAUCAUCUGGCAAGAGUGCUUUUCUGUCCAAAGGAAACACUGCAGUGGAAGAGGAGGCCAGCUUGGAAAAUAUGAAAAGCAAGAGCUAAAAAUAAAGUACAGUAAUUUCACCAUUAUAAGCCGCACCAUUUUGACUAAAAUUUUGCGCCCAAACCGGAGGUGCGGCUUACAUUCAGGAGCGGCUUAUAUAUGAACAAAUUUUGGAAAUUUCCCAACCCGGAAGUCCGAGCCAGCAGCAGCCCCUGAGCCAAGGUGGAGCCCACCAGGCCCCGGGCAGCGAGGCAGUGGCGGCGCAGCAGCAGCGCUGCCCGGCCCCGGGAGGCGCAACAGCGGCUGGGGAUGCCCCUCUCCCUCUUCCCGGCGGCACUGGCUGGGCAAGCCCCUCUCC